AUGUUGGAGGUGAGGUUGAUGACCCCCCUCCCCCUCCACGCUGGAUCCGCAAACCUCGUCAUUGUUGGUGACUUGCUUGAACCUGCCGGAGCCACCGACGUGUGCCACUUUUGCAUCAUUGUCAUGCAUCUCCGCCUCCUCGCCUUCAUGAGCCUUGAGCAUCGCCUAGUUGUCGUGGAUGAUCUCCGGGUCCUUAAGAAGUGCAACAAUGACUGUGUCAUCUAUGUGCUCUGCCUCGAGUUGCACGACAACUGCCGGGUGCUCCUCCAAGAGCAUGAGGCAAACUUGCUUCUCUGCCCCUGCCAUGGACAAGACACAAUCCACCCCGCCAACCAGAGUCGCAGCCUCAACAGUCAUUGUCUACGCCUCCUCCGUAGGAACAUCCUCCUUCGUGAGCACCUCUUCCUCUUAGACCUCUGCCAUCACCAUACCUUGGGGUCGCCAUCCUCCUCCUCCGACCUCGGCCAUCGGGAGCUUGGAGGGUGGGAUAGUGGGGUUCUGCAUCUAUCUAGUACGGAGAUUCCAAGCAAUUUACUCUCUUGA
Molecule: ribosomal RNA, 543 nt
Filed under: Triticum aestivum (bread wheat)
Lineage: Eukaryota; Viridiplantae; Streptophyta; Magnoliopsida; Poales; Poaceae
Description: partial small subunit ribosomal RNA
Source: RNAcentral